Molecule: ribosomal RNA, 340 nt
Filed under: Oconnorella tubifera
Lineage: Eukaryota; Metazoa; Annelida; Clitellata; Enchytraeida; Enchytraeidae
Description: partial 12S ribosomal RNA
Source: RNAcentral
UUGAGACCUAAUACUAAGCCGGACAAUACAAAUAAUAAUUUAAAAUCCAAAGAAAUUGGCGGUAUCUUAUAUAAUCAGGGGAACCUGUCUCUUAAUUCGAUAAUCCACGAAAUCUCAACCAAUUAACGAACUUCAGCCUGUGUACUGCUGUCAUCAGUAAACCUUUAAAAGUAAGUUUACGUAAAAUAAACCCUCUAUUCAUGUCAAGUCAAAGUGCAGCUAAUAAAUUGGAGAAAGAUGUGUUACAAUCUUUACACAGACACGAAUAAAUUUAAUAAAAAAAUUUUGAAGGUGGACUUGAAAGUAAUAGCAACAAAUUAAUACUAUAAAUAUAAACCUA